AUCGCUUCUCAGCCUUUUGGCUAAGAUCAAGUGUAGUGUGUGUAGUAUGAAUUCUAUACUAAUAAUGGUCUCAGACUUAUGGCUUACCCCCAAGAUUUAUUGAGAAAUUAUUUCAUCGGCUAAGCUGAUGUAAAGGUACUAUAUACUUGUCAUUAAUUUACUCACUUGCAAAAUUAAGAUAUU
This 183-nucleotide small nuclear RNA is filed under the name Tauraco erythrolophus (red-crested turaco). Its description in RNAcentral is "U2 spliceosomal RNA". It matches the Rfam family "U2 spliceosomal RNA". From Rfam's summary of the family: U2 is a small nuclear RNA (snRNA) component of the spliceosome (involved in pre-mRNA splicing). Complementary binding between U2 snRNA (in an area lying towards the 5' end but 3' to hairpin I) and the branchpoint sequence (BPS) of the intron results the bulging out of an unpaired adenosine, on the BPS, which initiates a nucleophilic attack at the intronic 5' splice site, thus starting the first of two transesterification reactions that mediate splicing. The record is from Rfam by way of RNAcentral. Lineage: Eukaryota; Metazoa; Chordata; Aves; Musophagiformes; Musophagidae.